RNAcentral lists this long non-coding RNA (302 nucleotides) under Homo sapiens (human). RNAcentral describes it as "HSALNT0398650". The record is from RNAcentral. Lineage: Eukaryota; Metazoa; Chordata; Mammalia; Primates; Hominidae.
CCUGCCUCAGCCUCCCAAGUAGCUGGGGUUACAGCACCACUGGGUUAGGGUCUCCCUGACUGAGCUGGUCUCGGCAAGUGGCGUACCUUCAUGGGGGCUCGAAUCCAGGUUGAAGGGUCACCGGAGCGACAGUUGGAAUGGAAAACUAGCUGGAGGACACCCAAGUACUCUUAAAGCAAUCCCUGUGGAGGAGUUAAUCUUCAAGGAUUGGAACCUAACUCGGUUUGGCAAAUGGAUGUCACACAUGUUCCCUCGUUUGGGAGACUAGCUUAUGUACAUGUAUGUGUGGGCACCUUUUCUCA